AGUGAACGCUGGCGGUAGGCCUAACACAUGCAAGUCGAACGGCAGCACAGUAAGAGCUUGCUCUUACGGGUGGCGAGUGGCGGACGGGUGAGGAAUACAUCGGAAUCUACUUUUUCGUGGGGGAUAACGUAGGGAAACUUACGCUAAUACCGCAUACGACCUACGGGUGAAAGCAGGGGAUCUUCGGACCUUGCGCGAUUGAAUGAGCCGAUGUCGGAUUAGCUAGUUGGCGGGGUAAAGGCCCACCAAGGCGACGAUCCGUAGCUGGUCUGAGAGGACGAUCAGCCCCCAUUGGACUGGGACCCCGUCCAGACUCCUACGGGAGGCCGCCGUGGGGAAUAUUGGGACAUGGGCGCAAGCCUGAUCCAGCCCUACCGCGUGGGUGAAGAAGGCCCUCGGGUUGUAAAGCCCCUUUUGUUGGGAAAGAAAAGCAGCAGGUUAAUACCCCGCUGUUCUGACGGUACCCAAAGAAUAAGCACCGGCUAACUUCGUG
RNAcentral lists this ribosomal RNA (493 nucleotides) under uncultured bacterium. RNAcentral describes it as "partial 16S ribosomal RNA". It matches the Rfam family "Bacterial small subunit ribosomal RNA", at positions 29 to 507 of the family's 1533-position model. The record is from RNAcentral.